Long non-coding RNA from Oncorhynchus tshawytscha (Chinook salmon), 1571 nucleotides. NCBI's taxonomy places the organism in Eukaryota, Metazoa, Chordata, Actinopteri, Salmoniformes, Salmonidae. The record is from Ensembl.
CUACAGUAGGGUGUACAGUAGGCCUGGUCGUUUCUACAGUAGGGUGUACUAUUACUUAGGGUUACACUAUCAAAAAGCGUGUGUGUGCGUUCUGUUUAUCUGUGUGACGUGAUCAAUCUGUUUAUUCCAGUUCAGAAUGAAAAUGAUUGCAUUUUAACAGCAACCGUUCCAUCCUAGACAGAUAUGGAAGAGUGUUUCUAAUGGGGGAAUGUAAACAUUAAUAUAUAUUUAUAUGAAUAUUUUAUUUCAUUGUUAUUUGUUUUUGUCUAUAUUGCAUUUGUUUAGCCAUAAGGGCAAUGAAAUGUACCGAUAUUUACAUAUAGUUUCAUAUUUUCCUAAACUUGGGUCCCAGGAAAACACAGCCUUUAUAAUUUGUGUCCCAGGCUGAAAAAGUUGAAGAACCCCUGUUUUAAAUAUUAUUAUUUAUUUUUUUGAGAUUACUAAUGUUACUGUCCCCAACACACACACAAAAAAUAACUGUAACUUUGUCCUUGAAACAUUUAAUUGAAAUACUGUAGAAUUCCUAACAUUUCUUAUAGCUGAGUUGGUUGUUUAGCAACAAAAACCGAGUCACGCACAACAGACGGUUUGGAUUAGAUUGACAACAUGUAGGCCUAAACGAUAUUUAGUCUCCGAAAUGUUUAUUGAAAACAUAAAUACAUUUGCACAAUGACUCUCAAUGUCUCUCAAAUACAUCGUUAAUACUGUCAACAACAAGACGUGUUAUCAAGAACAAGAUUUAGUUUUAAAUUAUCUAAAUUAUCAUGUUAUCAAGAAUAUGUUUUUAUCUAAAAAGAGCCACCUAUGAUUCCCCACAUGACAGCUCUAGUCAUUGUUGCUAGCUGACAGCUCUAGUCAUUGUUGCUAGCUGACAGCUCUAGUCAUUGUUGCUAGCUGACAGCUCUAGUCAUUGUUGCUAGCUGACAGCUCUAGUCAUUGUUGCUAGCUAUCUGGUCGUUCAGCGUCAUAUAGCUCGGCUUCUGGCAACGUUGUCAGCCAACACGUCUGUGGAGGAUUGCUCCUAUUGGGGAGUGUCAAUAUGGCCAACCGGUGGCAUCUCUAUGGCCAAUACAUAGCAUCAGAAAUCCUGGGUUUAAAUACAUUGACUAUACAAAACAUUAGGAACACCUUCCUAAUAUUGAGUCUCCCCCCCCCUCCUUUGCCACUCAAGGUGUUGAAAGCAUUCCACAGGGAUGCUGGCCCAUGUUGACUCUACAAGGUAUUUAAAGCAUUCCACGGGGAUGCUGGUUCAUGUUGACUCCAAGGCUUCCCACAGUUGUGUCAUGUUGGCUGGAUGUCCAUUGGGUGGUGGACCAUUCUUGAUAAACACGGGAAACUGUUGAGCGUGAAAAACCCAGCAGCAUUGUAGUUCUUGACACACACAAACCGGUGCGCCUGGAACCUACUACCAUACCCCGUUCAAAGGCACUUAAAUCCUUUGUCUUGUCCGUUCACCCUCUGGAUGGCACACAUACACAAUCCAUGUCUCCAUUGUCUCAGGGCUUAAAAACCCUUCUUUAACCCGUCUCCUCCCCUUCAUCUUUAACCUGGUCUCCUCCCCUUCAUCUUUA